GCAUUUUAACAAAUAAUCCACACGCCUGCCGACACAUUCCACGGGGUGCCGACGGAAGCUUCGAAGAGAGGUUUACUGUCGGUUCGUGGUCUGGGCAGGCGGAGGCAAAAC
RNAcentral lists this small RNA (111 nucleotides) under Thiomicrospira sp. WB1. Its description in RNAcentral is "t44 RNA". It matches the Rfam family "t44 RNA". Rfam says of the family: This family consists of a number of bacterial RNA genes of between 135 and 170 bases in length. The t44 gene is found between the map and rpsB genes in all species in the full alignment apart from Shigella flexneri. The record is from Rfam by way of RNAcentral. Lineage: Bacteria; Pseudomonadati; Pseudomonadota; Gammaproteobacteria; Thiotrichales; Piscirickettsiaceae.